Molecule: ribosomal RNA, 301 nt
Filed under: uncultured bacterium
Lineage: Bacteria
Description: partial 16S ribosomal RNA
Rfam family: Bacterial small subunit ribosomal RNA
Source: RNAcentral
CAGUAGCCGCGGUAAUACGAAGGGGGCUAGCGUUGCUCGGAAUGACUGGGCGUAAAGGGCGCGUAGACGGCGAUCAAAGUCAGGCGUGAAAUUCCUGGGCUCAACCUGGGGGCUGCGCUUGAUACUUGGUUGCUUGAGUGGGGAAGAGGGUCGUGGAAUUCCCAGUGUAGAGGUGAAAUUCGUAGAUAUUGGGAAGAACACCGGUGGCGAAGGCGGCGACCUGGUCCUUGACUGACGCUGAGGCGCGAAAGCGUGGGGAGCAAACAGGAUUAGAUACCCCUGUAGUCCCUGUCUCUUAUAC